RNAcentral lists this ribosomal RNA (439 nucleotides) under uncultured bacterium. RNAcentral describes it as "bacterial SSU rRNA". It matches the Rfam family "Bacterial small subunit ribosomal RNA", at positions 954 to 1392 of the family's 1533-position model. The record is from RNAcentral.
AUGGGAACGCGAAGAACCUUACCUACUCUUGACAUCCAGAGAACUUAGCAGAGAUGCUUUGGUGCCUUCGGGAACUCUGAGACAGGUGCUGCAUGGCUGUCGUCAGCUCGCGUUGUGAAAUGUUGGGUUAAGUCCCGCAACGAGCGCAACCCUUAUCCUUUGUUGCCAGCGGUUAGGCCGGGAACUCAAAGGAGACUGCCAGUGAUAAACUGGAGGAAGGUGGGGAUGACGUCAAGUCAUCAUGGCCCUUACGAGUAGGGCUACACACGUGCUACAAUGGCGCAUACAAAGAGAAGCGACCUCGCGAGAGCAAGCGGACCUCAUAAAGUGCGUCGUAGUCCGGAUUGGAGUCUGCAACUCGACUCCAUGAAGUCGGAAUCGCUAGUAAUCGUAGAUCAGAAUGCUACGGUGAAUACGUUCCCGGGUCUUGUACACACCG